GACAGAGGUGCCGAGCGUUAGGCGGAAUCACUGGGCUUAAAGCGUGUGUAGGCGGGCCGUUAAGUGUCUUGUGAAAUCCCCCGGCUCAACCGGGGAAUUGCUGGGCAUACUGGCGGUCUUGAGCAAUCUAGGGGCAGAUGGAACAAGUGGUGGAGCGGUGAAAUGCGUAGAUAUCAGGAGGAACACCGGUGGCGAAGGCGGGUCUCUGGGCCGAUACUGACGCUGAGGAGCGAAAGCGUGGGGAGCGAACAGG
Molecule: ribosomal RNA, 253 nt
Filed under: uncultured bacterium
Lineage: Bacteria
Description: partial 16S ribosomal RNA
Rfam family: Bacterial small subunit ribosomal RNA
Source: RNAcentral